ACGAGAGAGGUUGUGUCUUGUGCUUCCAGUCCAGUUGUGGAGCCUGGGUUUUAGAAUUUAGUGGAUGUCCAAUCCAUCUGUGUUGUGGAAAAGGGCAGAGUAGUAAUUCAUGUUUUUAUUCUGAAAGAGAAUUUAAGAUUAUGAGGGUAUCUUAGAGAAUUCAUAUUGCUGAAAUUUCUUAGAAUUCUUUCCAUGUUAAAGGUUCAUAUUUUACAGAAAUAAUUCUUGGAUACCUUCAUUUAACAGUGCUCUUCAUUCUGGCUGCAAACUAAUAUUCCCUGUUAGGUUUAUAUUUAGGAAGCUCUUCAUUUGUUUUAACGGUUAUCACCCUAUCAUACAACUGUGUGUGAUCUGGCACUUCCAUUCUCCCUCUUAGAAUUUAGACUCCCCACACACUGGCAAGAAAGAAGUCUGGAAAGGAAUUCUAAGCUAUGCAAAACAAGUCACUGAUUUAUUUCACUUACACCUAGCUUAGAAGUCAUUCAUCUUCAUUUUUCACAUUAACCUUUGUAAUUCUUUUACAUUUCCUAAAAUUUCUAAUCUAUAAUUUGGGAACCAUUAUCUUAUAAAUGUUUGAAUACGGAUGCAUAGUAACUCAUCACUCCUCUGUGAGAGUUUCUCACAGAGCUCCAUUAAUUUAGUGAAAUUUUUAUGGUCAAGGGUCUGGCUUUCUGAUUGGAAAUCCAGAAACUAACAUGUGAAACUACUUCCUGACAUUGGAAAAUAAACUGGGUUUCCAAACUGUUAACUUAAAACAAGGUAUGUACGUAAAUUUUAAGUGCAUGGGAUGCUUGCUUUGGCCUGACUAGUGCAUCCUUACUCUUCUAGAAAGCUAUCUGGGAAUCUAAAUCAGAAGUUUGGCUGAUGUCACAUCAUCAUGGCAAGGAGAGCUAUAUUCUUCAAGUGUUCGAAGGAAACAGGAUGGGGUGUGCCUGGCAGGAUAUACCUGUCAGUAAGGGGUGUAUCUGCCAGACACCACCAUCUGCUUCUCAGGGCAGCUUCUUCGUGGCUAGGAGUUAGCGGAAUAAUGCUGUCAGUGUAUGUCUCUAAUUCCUCUAGUGCACCUCUCCCAGACUCUCUUCUGCUUGGCUUUCUCAUUAAUGUUAGCACACAUUUAUAGUCAAAACCUUCUUCCAUCCCGGCAGCUUGCUGCCCACCAUGGUGUUGUACAUACCUAACCAUAACCAUGUGUUGAUUUUAAUAUUUAAUGCCGAGGCUUAAUGGAAGGAAGAGUACCUAAUCAUGAUCCUCAGUUGUGACUGAGUGUAACCUCAGAUUUAGAAAAUAUCGGUCUUGGAGUUCCCGUCAUGGCUCAGUGGUUAACGAAUCUGACUAGGAACCACGAGGUGCAGGUUCGAUCCCUGGCCUCGCUCAGUGGGUUGGGGAUCUGUGGUGUAGGUCACAGACGCCGCUUGGAUUAAUGUUGCUGUGGCUGUGGUGUAGGCCAGCAGGUGUAGAUCCAAUUCAACCCCCAGCCUGGGAACCUCCAUAUGCCGUGGGUGGUGCAGCCCUUUAAAAAAAAAAAAAGAAAAUAUAGGUCAAGGUACUUAACAUUCAUCUUUACAACUAUCCAAGCAACAUUCCCAGCUUUUAAAAACCAGUAUAAGAAAAUUAUCUUUUUAGAUGCUAAAAGUGAAAAUUUUCUUUUUCUAGAAGUUAUGUGUAUGACCCUUGAAAAAAUGUAAAAGAAUUAGGCCCUCUCAUUCAGAAUCUCAAAAAGCAAUUCAAUCUAGGAAACUUGCAGUUUCCCAGAAAGGAUACAGUGUCCGGCAAGUAAGGCGAGUGCAGGAAUUGAUUAUGCGUCACCUAGUGACAGAGAGCAGAUGUUUUGUGAAUCUUUCCCUUAAGAAAUAAUUGUCAGAGGGAGGCAAUGAUUGAGUUGAUGCUGAUUGAGAUAGAGAUGAAGGGAUAUAGAGAAUCCUUUGAGACAUCCACAGACAGGGGAGAGGUUCCAGGGUAUAAUCUGAGGGGAAGAAUUGUUGCAGGUAGCAGAGACUAUUAGCAGGAGACAUGGAGAGGUACAGAGGGUUGAAUCGGAGCUGUAGCUGCCAGCCCUACGCCACAGCCACAGCAACACCAGAUCCCAGCCGCAAAUGCCACCUUCACCACAGCUCACAGCCACACCAGAUCCUUAACCCACUGAGCAAGGCCAGGGAUUGAACCCAAAUCUUCAUGGAUCCUAGUCAGGUUCAUUACCACUGAGCCACAACAGGAACUCCAGAAUAUUCUAGAACAGAAUUUUCAAAGCAUGCCAUCUCAGCAAAUAUUAUCAAGUGUGAAAAGUUACAUGGCAAUUGCCAUGUACUAGGCACUUGUUGAAGAUACUUUGUCCACAUGCUCCUCCCAACAACCUUAUUAGGAAUGUAAAAUUGUUAUUUUUUGCAUUUCCACAAAUGGAAAAGUUAGGCACAGAAAGUUAAGUAGUUUGCCCGUUAUGAUGCAGCCAUUCCUUAAUGGAUAGAACAUGAAGGCAGGUGGCCAUUUGGUGUUGCUAACCCCAAACUACCUGCGUGAAAACAAAUAGUAUCCAUGUAAGAACAAUAUCCUUACUGUGUAUAUGUGCUGUGUAUAGGGGUGCUUCAAGAAACACCCUUGUUCCCAAUUCCAACCAGGAUGUUUCCUUUCAUUUUCUCCCACGUAGAUGUCCUAGAGCCUCUCCUGGAGGAAAGUGAGGGUGUGGCUCUGAGAACACUAGCAGGCAUUAGCAAGAGUAGGGGGGGGGUACCAGAUGGGAACAGGAAAUUGGGGAGCCCCUAAUUUCCCCGGGGGAGGCAAGGAGGCUGUCACAGAACAGAAACUUGGUUGAACUUCCAAAAUCACAUCAAGUGAACUACCUAAACUUAUUAAAUAUAAAUCUUAGUUCCACCUGCUGUGUUCCAGGCUAGAAAUUGUCAGGUUUGGGAGUUCCCGUUGUGGUGCAGCAGAAAUGAAUCCGACUAGUAUCCAUGAGGAUAUGGGUUCAAUCCCUGGCCUCACUCAAUGGGUUCAUGAUCCAGCGUUGCCAUGAGCUGCGGUGUAUGUCACAAACAAGGCUUGGAGCCCAAGUUGCUGUGGCUGUGGCCGGCAGCUGUAGCUGGGAUUUGACCUCUAGCCUGGGAACUUCCAUAUGCCUUUUUUUUUAGGGUGCAGCCCUAAAAAAACAAACAAACAAAAAAACCACCAGUCACUUUUUCAGUGAGAUACAAAAGAAACACAAUAGAAAGAUCCCAGCCCUUUGCUAUAUAGUUAAAUUGAAAUGGCUCUUCAAUUCCUCAUCUCAUACACACCCUUCACUACUAAAUCUGAUGCCUUCCACUCCCCGGACCCUCCUGCACCCUAAACUUCCAUUAUUUUAUUGUUACAUAUGUGAACCAAUCUUUAGAGAGAUUCUAGUAGGGGCUCAACUGACUUUGCCAAAUGACACCUUUUUGACCCUAAAUUAUUUUUUAUUGCGAUGCCUGACCACACUUCAACUUUUGUCCCACAGUAUCUUAAAGAUGUUAUGGCCCCUUGCAGAAGUGAAAGUAAUUCAACUAGAGCCAGAUAGGGGAGAAAGAGGACAGUGGGUGAAAGUAAGACGCCAAAUAACCACCUGGAAUCUAUUGAGUAUCUGUACUGUGCCAUGUGCUAUGCCCUCUGCUAAGAACAGGGCCGUGUUGAUGGAAAGUAAAGGACUGCUCUUCAACUCUUCAAGGAGCUCACAGUUUAGCUCAGACGACUAAAUUCGGUUAACCCCUGAACAACAUGGGUUUGAACUGUGCAGGUUCACUUAAUAUGCAGAUUUUUUUCAAUACAAUUCGCCUUUGGUAUCUGCAGAUGUGGAAACUGCAGAUAUGAAGGUCUACUACCGGCCUUGAGUGUGGUGGAUUUUGGUAUCAUUGGCAGGUCCCUGAACCAAUCCUCCGCAAAUCCGAAGGGAUGCCUGUAAUUAGAUAACAGGUCAGAUGGCGUUACGUGCUCUGAAAGGAUGUCCAACGUGUUUUAAAAAUCAAAAUGGAUAUUUGUUUUUCUCCUUGAAAAGAAAUACCUUGUUGUUCAGACACACAGAGCACAGCAUUUAUUUCUAAAACAAAUAUACUAAUUACAAAGAGUCAAAAACUAUAGAAAGUAUAAAACAGAAACUUGCUAAAUUCUACCAUUCAUAGAAAACCACUCUUAUAAAUGCUGAGGUGUAUUCUUUUCUGCAUAUACUCACAUCUUUUUGCAAAAAAUGAACUCAAAUCACACAUGAUAUUUUGCUGUCUCCUGUGUUUUACUGAAUGAUUUCUAAGACCCUCUCUCUCUUUGAAGGGUAUAGAAUGACGUCAUCACGUAUAACGGCUGGUAUCGUUGUAUGACAGCAGUUACUUAUUUCACUCAUCCAGAUUAGACCUUCAUGUGUUUUCUAAUUUUUGUUAUUACUAUUGUAAAUACUUCUUCUUGAGAUGAAAAUUAUUCAAGUAUUGCUGGAUCUCAAGGUACCAUGCCAUUUAAAGUACCUGACAAGGCCUUAUCCUUUUUUUUUUUUUUCCCUUUUUUCAUCAGAAACUUUUAUUUCAAGUUAAAGUAUUUGGAGCAAAUCUGAUGUCUACUUUGGAGCUAUAUUUCUUCAUACAUUUGUUUUUUAAAUUUUGUAUGAUUGUUAUUGUUUUUAUUAUAGUUGAUUUAGUGUUCUGUCAAUUUCUACUGUACAAUAAAGUGACCCAGUUCUUUUUCUCACAUUAUCCUCCAUCAUGUUCCAUCAAAAGUGACUGGAUAUAGUUCCCUGUGCUAUAUUCUUAUUCUAGCUCCCUGAAUUGUGCACAUCAAGGGCAUGGAGAAAAUAGGGAUUUCUGAGAAAGGGUCUUGUCAGCUCAUCCCCUUCUUUAUUCUAAAAAAAUGAAAUAUAUGCUAACCCUUUCACCAGAUUUGGUUCCUCAUAAACAUUGAAAAUGUGCUCAUACCUGUCAGAGAAGUGUUUUCCUGCAGCUGAAUCAGUGAUUUUAUCUAAAGUCAACAAAAUAUUCUAUUAUGUACGCCUGUAGGUUAGGAAUAGGACAAAAUGAUCGAUAUAUUGUAAUCAGUGUAUGUGUAAGUUAUUGAUGUAUUGACUAAAUUUAGAAGUUGCGAAGUGGUGACUGGUCUUUAUUGAAUAUGCUUAUGGUAUAAAAUGCUAUUACAAAUGUUGGCGAGUUUAGUAAUGCUCUAAUAGGAGAUUAAAACUAAUUCCAGUUAUCUUCUUUACCUAAAUAUAGUGUUAGGAUCCUUGAAUUGAAAGGUGCAAAAUUUGCUUUGUCAGAUUAUUCACAUUAUUUAUAGUAUUUUAAUCUAAGUGCUUCUUUAAUGAAUAAAUGAAGAACUGUAUCAUUCUCUAUCAUUCUUUGGCACCUGCAUGUAGGAGAAAAAAAAACUUCUGUAUGAGACAGAGAAGCAGCUUAUAUAUUCUAAAGGAACCAAGGUGGAGUGGAGAGGGAGGAGCUCAGAAAAAUCAAGAUCUUUCCUCAAAUUACCUGAACCACUCUUCUGCAAAACACUUGUCCUAUUUACACUGUUAAGUGGUAGGCUCUCAGGGACAGGAUCUGCAGUGGCAGAGGAAGUAGAGAUUUGAAUUGUCUCUAUUUUUGGAGGGAUCAGAACCCACUGCUGAGGCGGGGGGCGGGGGUGAUACUCGGAAGUAGAGAUUGCAAGUUAAGUUUUCACCCUGAGUUUUACAGUAAAGGUUAAAAGUCAGUUGUCCACAGCUUAUUAUUUGAGAUGAGGGAAAAAUUAAAUGGUUAGACAUAAAUAUAAAGUUAAUGCUUCUAACUAAAAAAAAGAGAGAAGAACUUGGAGUGAUAGGAAAGGUUCAGUUGGUGAGAUACUGCUGAGUAUUUCUCUGCAUGCUAAGUCCAUGUUGAAUGAAUGAGUGAUGUUUCAUGGUGCUGAGAGGGGAUAGUGGGUUUGAGAACCUGAAACUGAAUCUUCCUCUAAGUGUGGAUGUUCAGCUUUUGAAGGAAUAGAUCCAGAACAUGGAAGAAGAGUAAGGUAAGCUUAGUUUAGGGGAGAACAAAUAAGGAAAAAAUAAGCUCAGAGAGGAAGAGAGGAGAGAAUGAAAUAAUUACAAUGAAAACCCUGUGUGGGGAGUUCCCUUCAUGGCUCAGUGGUUAACAAACCUGACUAGGAUCCAGGAGGUUGCUGGUUCGAUCCCUGGCCUCGUUCAGUGGGUUAAGGAUCCUGUGUUGCCCCGAGCUGUGGUGUAGGUCACAGAUGCACCUCAGAAGUAGCUCCGAUUCAACCCCUGGCCUGGAAACUUCCAUAUGCCACGGGUGCGGCCCUAAAAAGCAAAAAAAAAAAAAAAAAAAA
Molecule: long non-coding RNA, 6279 nt
Filed under: Sus scrofa (pig)
Lineage: Eukaryota; Metazoa; Chordata; Mammalia; Artiodactyla; Suidae
Description: lncRNA (ENSSSCG00015061913.1)
Source: RNAcentral